AAUAGCCUAACGGCUGAACCAGCAAUUUGGGGGAAUGUAUAUCGACUACGUCGAAUAAAGUUCUAGGUAAAAUAAUGAUGAUGACAAUUUUUUACCUAUAUGUCUUGACCAAAUCUCGUGCCAGCAGUCGCGGUAAUACGUGGAAGACUAGUGUUAUUCAUCUUUAAUAGGUUUAAAGGGUACCUAGACGGUAAAUCUAGCCCAAAAAGGGUACGGAUUUACUAGAGUUUUAUAUGAGAAGGGGAGUACUUAUAGAGUAGAGAUGAAAUUUUUUGAUACUAUAAGGAAACUGGUAUCGGCGAAAGCAACCUUCUAUGUAUAAACUGACGUUGAGGGACGAAGGCUUGGGUAGCAAACAGGAUUAGAUACCCUAGUAGUCCAAGCAGACAAUUCUGAAUGCCAUAGAUUAGAUUUUUUUGUCUAUAAAUGAAAGUGUAAGCAUUCCACCUUAAGAGUAAUGUGGCAACACAGGAAUUGAAAUCAUUAGACCGUUUCUGAAACCAGUAGUGAAGUAUGUUAUUUAAUUCGAUGGUCCACGAAAAACCUUACCACAACUUGAAUUUCUCUUCAAACAAGCGUUGCACGGCUGUCUUCAGUUAAUGUCGUGAGAUUUUGGUUAACUCCAUUAAAUUAACGUAAACCCUUACUUUAUUUUUUAUAUAAAGUAGUUUUCCACGAUAUAGGAUAUUAUAAAAGGGACUAAGACAAGUCAUCAUGGCCUGAAUAUUG
RNAcentral lists this ribosomal RNA (729 nucleotides) under Trimmatothelopsis gordensis. RNAcentral describes it as "SSU rRNA". It matches the Rfam family "Bacterial small subunit ribosomal RNA", at positions 370 to 1209 of the family's 1533-position model. Lineage: Eukaryota; Fungi; Ascomycota; Lecanoromycetes; Acarosporales; Acarosporaceae. The record is from RNAcentral.